This 425-nucleotide ribosomal RNA is filed under the name uncultured bacterium. Its description in RNAcentral is "partial 16S ribosomal RNA". It matches the Rfam family "Bacterial small subunit ribosomal RNA", at positions 354 to 796 of the family's 1533-position model. The record is from RNAcentral.
GUGGGGAAUCUUAGACAAUGGGCGCAAGCCUGAUCUAGCCAUGCCGCGUGAGCGAUGAAGGCCUUAGGGUUGUAAAGCUCUUUCGUGGGGGAAGAUAAUGACGGUAACCGGAGAAGAAGCCCCGGCUAACUUCGUGCCAGCAGCCGCGGUAAUACGAAGGGGGCUAGCGUUGUUCGGAAUUACUGGGCGUAAAGCGCACGUAGGCGGGUAUUUAAGUUAGGGGUGAAAUCCCAGGGCUCAACCCUGGAACUGCCUCUAAUACUGGGUAUCUCGAGUCCGAGAGAGGUGAGUGGAAUUCCGAGUGUAGAGGUGAAAUUCGUAGAUAUUCGGAGGAACACCAGUGGCGAAGGCGGCUCACUGGCUCGGUACUGACGCUGAGGUGCGAAAGCGUGGGGAGCAAACAGGAUUAGAAACCCUUGUAGUCC